GAUGAACGCUGGCGGCGUGCCUAAUACAUGCAAGUCGAGCGAACAGACGAGGAGCUUGCUCCUCUGACGUUAGCGGCGGACGGGUGAGUAACACGUGGAUAACCUACCUAUAAGACUGGGAUAACUUCGGGAAACCGGAGCUAAUACCGGAUAAUAUAUUGAACCGCAUGGUUCAAUAGUGAAAGACGGUUUUGCUGUCACUUAUAGAUGGAUCCGCGCCGCAUUAGCUAGUUGGUAAGGUAACGGCUUACCAAGGCAACGAUGCGUAGCCGACCUGAGAGGGUGAUCGGCCACACGGGAACUGAGACACGGUCCAGACUCCUACGGGAGGCAGCAGUAGGGAAUCUUCCGCAAUGGGCGAAAGCCUGACGGAGCAACGCCGCGUGAGUGAUGAAGGUCUUCGGAUCGUAACACUCUGUUAUUAGGGAAGAACAAAUGUGUAAGUAACUAUGCACGUCUUGACGGUACCUAAUCAGAAAGCCACGGCUAACUACGU
Molecule: ribosomal RNA, 496 nt
Filed under: uncultured bacterium
Lineage: Bacteria
Description: partial 16S ribosomal RNA
Rfam family: Bacterial small subunit ribosomal RNA
Source: RNAcentral